Molecule: ribosomal RNA, 228 nt
Filed under: uncultured eukaryote
Lineage: Eukaryota
Description: partial 18S ribosomal RNA
Rfam family: Eukaryotic small subunit ribosomal RNA
Source: RNAcentral
AGAAAUCUCACCAGGCCCGGACACUGGAAGGAUUGACAGAUUGAUAGCUCUUCCUUGAUUCGGUGGGUGGUGGAGCAUGGCCGUUCUUAGUUGGUUGAGUGAUUUGUCUUGUUAAUUCCGAUAACGAACGAGACUCUGUCCUGCUAAAUAGUGACGCGGUUCAUCGAACCGUGGGCCACUUCUUAGAGGGACUAUCGGAUUCAAACCGAUGGAAGUGUGAGGCAAUAA